CCAGUUUGCCUCAACGGAACCUUCUGAAUCCAUCCAAGUAAGCAACCGCCUUCUUCUUUUUUGGUUUUCUGCCGUAGCCUGCCAACAACUUUGCCCUUUCAUUUCCUUAUUUCUAAUCUAAUGCAGACAUAUAAUUGACUUUCAAACUCUGUAAAUUUUUAAAAACUAUAUGAACUGGUUUCAACUUUGGUAAAACUACAUGUUUGAUGAUGAACAGAUAAACGGUGAUAAUUACCUGGAUUUUAGCAUCAGGUUCCUUGUAAGAGUUGUCAACGUCUCCUGGUAAUCCACCUUUUUCCUUUGUUGUGAUAUCCAUCAUCGAUCUUUGCAGAGACUUCUUCACGUUGAAGGUUGCAGAUCUGAGUUUCUUUUUUAUUGUGAUAUCCAUCAUCGAUCUUUGCAGAGACUUCUUCACUUUGAAGGUUGCAGAUCUGAGUUUGUUUUUUUUCAGUCUAUCAGCCUAUUUGCCUAUUGAAACUGGUAAUUUUUUUUUCAUUCACUUUUUUCUGAUUGUUUGUCCUUUUUCAUUUUUUUAUUUUUUUAAAGUUUUUUUAUUUAUUUACUUUUUAAGUUUUUUUAUUUGUCCUUUAUUUAUUUUAUUUAUUUGUUUAUUAUUGGUUUUAUGAAAUGUUUUAUAAUAUUAUUUUUUAAAAUUUUAAAUAUAUUUUCUUAAAAUUAUUAAUUUUUUAAAAUUUAAACAUUAUUUUUAAAAUUUUAAAUAUACUUUUUAAUAAUAUAAAACAUUUAAAAUAUAUUAUUUUUAAAGAUAUGACCUUUCAAAUUUAUUAUUUAUUUUAUAAUAUUUUAAAUGUAUAUUUUAAAAUUUUUAAAUAUAUAUUUAUUUAAUUUUAAAUAUAAUUUUUAAAAUUAUGAUUUUUAAAAUUAUUUUUAAAGGUAUUUAAACUUUUUUUAAAAUUCUAUUUAAAAUUUUAAAAAAUAAUAUUUUAUUUAAAAAAGUGAAAAUUAAAUUGAUUGGAAAAAAAAUAAAAAAUAUGAUUCAUUAGUUAAAAAGAUUAAGACUUUUGUAAAUAUAUAUAUUAAAAAAGUAAAAAUUUAUAUUAAAAAAUUAAAUAUAUAUAUAUUAUAACUAGUCACAUCAUGUCAAUGGCAUUAAUGAUGUGACCAGUCAUUAGUCUAAUCAUAUGUGGACUUUUAUUAAUUUAUAUAAAAAAAUAAAAGAUAAUAAUACCCUAAUAAUAAUAUCAUUUACUUUGUAAAAAAAAAGACUUUUUAGUAAUUUUUUAAUUGAGUUGGUUGAGAUAAUUUGUUUAGUUAAAGAAUUUAGAGUAAACCACAAUAUCAGUUACUCAAUUAUAGGUAAAUUUUUGUUUUGGUCUUAGAUGCUCAUUAUGCUAAUUAUCGGUCUUAGAGUACACCAGAAUAUCGUCGAUAAAGGCUACGACGAACUAAUUUAGAUACGGCUGAAAAACCCGAUUCAUCAGAUCCAUGAAUGUCGUCGGAGCAUUCAUCAAACUAAAGGGCAUUACUAGGAACUCGUAGUGCCCAUAACGAGUCCUAAAAAUCGUCUUAAAGAUAUCAGCUUCCUUAACUCUAAGCUGAUGAUACCUAGAGCGGAGAUCUAUCUUCGAAAAUACUGAAGCCCCACGAAACUGAUCAAACAAAUCAUCGAUCCUCAGAAGUGGGUACUUAUUCUUUACCGUCAACUUUGUAACAACCCGAUUUAGACCCUAGUCGAACAAUGGUUUCGGGACCACGAAUUCGAGUCAAAAAAUAUUUUAAUAUUAUUUUCUGUGCUUAUAGUAUGUAAGUUGACAUGUGUAAAAUUUUCGUAAAUUAAUUUAUCCGUUUGUGUGCUUAAUUUGUGAAAAGGGCUAAAUCGCAUAAAAAGUAAAAGUGGCAUUCUCAUUGUUAAUAUGCUAAUUUGUUAUGAUUUGAUUUAUGGGAAGUCCUUAAAAGGUUAACAUACCAUUAUAAGUUUAGUGGACAUUUAUGUCCAUGAAUUAAGUAAUUUAUAUUAAGCUUUUAUUAAGGUUAAAAUGGUAAAAAGUAAAUAACAUGAUAUUAAAUAAAAUAAAACACAAAAUUCCAUGCAUUUGGCUUUGUUUUUGCCGAAACUUGAAGAACAAAGAAGACAUUUUUGUGUUUUAAGUAUUCGACACUUUGGAAGCUAAAAUUUGGUAUGUGUUUUGCUUGGCUUUUGAUAAUUUUUAUGUUUUUGUGAUCGUUGCUUAGUAUAUUGCCUAGCCCAUGUAUUAAUUGUUGGAGUUGAUUAUGAAUUUGAGAAUUUCCAUGGUUGAUAAUGUGAUAAAUUUGUUGUUUGAUGAUGAAAAAUAAAUCUUGGUUGAUAGAUUAUUAUGUUUAAUUAAGUGGUUUUUAGUAAAAAUGUGUAUUAAGGAUUAAAUUGUGAAUUUUGUAAAUUGAUGGGUCAAAAUGUGAAAUAAAUGAUUAAAAUUUUAUUGCUAGAGACCUAAGGUAGAUUCAUCCUAACUAGGGUGUAUUGAAAUUUUGAAUAUUUUGAGUUGUAUUGAAAUAGGGACUAAAUUGAGAAAAUGUGAAAUGUUAGGGGCUAAAAUACAAAUUACCCAUUUAUGUGUUUUUGAAUAAAUUUGAACGAAUAUAUGAUUAAAUAAGUCAAAUUUAUAUUGAAUUUGAUCAAGAAAAGAAGAAAUCAGAUUUGGAACGGUGGAAAUUAAAAGUGGUAUAGUGGUCGUCCCGUUUUGUUCGUCUUUGUCCGAGGUAAGUUCGUAAGUGAAUAAUUGAUGUUAAAUUUUAUGUACUUAAUUUAUACAUUGCUGAAUCGAAAUGUAUGUAUGAAUACUACAAUGCCGAAUUGUAUUUAACAUAGGAAAACUAAUUUGAUUAAUUUACGACAUCCGAUAACUAUACGAAUCACAGCAAUGCUGAAAUGUGAUAUCGUGUAAGACUACGUUUGGGACAUUGGCAGCGAUUUGAGAUUUACGUGUAAGACCAUGUCUGGGACAUUGGCGUCGUAUAUGAUUACAUGUAAGACUCUGUUUAGGACAGUGGCAUCGUUAUUUGAUUACAUGUAAGACCAUGUCUGGGACGUUGGCGUUGUACGAGCUUUUGAGCAAUCUGAGCAUCUUUUCUUUGAAUUUGAAUGGUAUAUUGAGAAAUUAUAUGGAAAAAAACUGAAUGUGUGUUUGAAUUGAACAAUUUCAGGUAUGUUUGAAUUAUACAAAGUUGAAAAUAAAUGUAAGUAUUAUGUAUAGCAUGAAAAGAUGAAUGAAUUACUUAUAUAUGAAUAUAUAUAUGUAUGUGUACGAGAUUUGUAAAAUUCAGCCUACUUGUAUAAUUUGUAUGUGUAUUUUGAAAACUAUUUGCUUACAACUUACUAAGCUAUUUAAGCUUACUGUAUGUUUGUUCAUUCAUUGUUUAUUAGACUUUGGAAGCUAAUUACGAGCUCGAGGAUCGUCAAGGAAGUUUG
RNAcentral lists this long non-coding RNA (3406 nucleotides) under Gossypium barbadense (sea-island cotton). RNAcentral's name for it is "long non-coding RNA (GBAR_LNC013338)". The record is from RNAcentral. Lineage: Eukaryota; Viridiplantae; Streptophyta; Magnoliopsida; Malvales; Malvaceae.